AAGGAUGUGGUGUUUGCUGUCACUUUGGGAAAGGGGUUUCAAGGAAGAGGAGCCCCCUUACAAUGCCUUGACCUGGAAAACCUCCACCACAGGGAUAGCCUAAGAAGUCCUUGGUUCCUGCAAAACUCACCCAUGACUCUAUGGGUUACUAGGCUGAGGAGCUGGAGUCCUCAGGAUGAGGUCUUCACCAAAAUGUACAAAGCAAAAUAUCCCAUUGUGAAAUACACAGCCCAAAGAAUUCUUAAUGAGAACAGGAGCUCCAGCAUGGACUUGAAACUGAAAGCCCAGACCCAUUUUGACAUAAAGGAUGAGU
This 313-nucleotide long non-coding RNA is filed under the name Homo sapiens (human). RNAcentral's name for it is "non-protein coding lnc-DNAH5-6:1". Lineage: Eukaryota; Metazoa; Chordata; Mammalia; Primates; Hominidae. The record is from RNAcentral.